GAGUAACACGUGGGAACCUGCCCAAUGGUUCGGAAUAACCGCGGGAAACUGCGGCUAAUACCGGAUAAGCCCGAGGGGGAAAGAUUUAUCGCCGAUGGAGGGGCCCGCGUCCGAUUAGGUAGUUGGUGGGGUAACGGCCUACCAAGCCUGCGAUCGGUAGCUGGUCUGAGAGGAUGAUCAGCCACACUGGGACUGAGAUACGGCCCAGACUCCUACGGGAGGCAGCAGUGGGGAAUAUUGGACAAUGGGGGCAACCCUGAUCCAGCAAUGCCGCGUGAGUGAUGAAGGCCUUAGGGUUGUAAAGCUCUUUUGGCGGGGACGAUGAUGACGGUACCCGCAGAAUAAGCCCCGGCUAACUUCGUGCCAGCAGCCGCGGUAAUACGAAGGGGGCGAGCGUUGUUCGGAAUUACUGGGCGUAAAGGGCGCGUAGGCGGCGAUCCUAGUCAGAUGUGAAAGUCCUGGGCUUAACCUGGGGACUGCAUUUGAUACUGGAUUGCUUGAAUGCAGGAGAGGAUAGCGGAAUUCCCAGUGUAGAGGUGAAAUUCGUAGAUAUUGGGAAGAACACCGGUGGCGAAGGCGGCUAUCUGGACUGUGAUUGACGCUGANGCGCGAAAGCGUGGGGAGCAAACAGG
RNAcentral lists this ribosomal RNA (632 nucleotides) under uncultured Alphaproteobacteria bacterium. Its description in RNAcentral is "bacterial SSU rRNA". It matches the Rfam family "Bacterial small subunit ribosomal RNA", at positions 108 to 776 of the family's 1533-position model. Lineage: Bacteria; Pseudomonadati; Pseudomonadota; Alphaproteobacteria. The record is from RNAcentral.